UACGUAGGGCGCAAGCGUUGUCCGGAAUCAUUGGGCGUAAAGCGCGUGUAGGCGGCCGAGUAAGUCUGCUGUGAAAGUCCAGGGCUCAACCCUGGGAUGCCGCAGAUACUGCUUGGCUAGAGUACGGGAGGGGCGAGUGGAAUUCCUGGUGUAGCGGUGGAAUGCGCAGAUAUCGUUUGGAACGCCAAUGGUGAAAACAGGUUGCUGGGAGUGUGCUGACGCUGAGACACGAAAGCCAGGGGAGCGAACGGG
Molecule: ribosomal RNA, 252 nt
Filed under: uncultured bacterium
Lineage: Bacteria
Description: partial 16S ribosomal RNA
Rfam family: Bacterial small subunit ribosomal RNA
Source: RNAcentral